This 81-nucleotide transfer RNA is filed under the name Myrmecia israelensis. RNAcentral describes it as "Myrmecia israeliensis tRNA-Leu". It matches the Rfam family "tRNA". From Rfam's summary of the family: Transfer RNA (tRNA) molecules are approximately 80 nucleotides in length. Their secondary structure includes four short double-helical elements and three loops (D, anti-codon, and T loops). Further hydrogen bonds mediate the characteristic L-shaped molecular structure. tRNAs have two regions of fundamental functional importance: the anti-codon, which is responsible for specific mRNA codon recognition, and the 3' end, to which the tRNAs corresponding amino acid is attached (by aminoacyl-tRNA synthetases). tRNAs cope with the degeneracy of the genetic code in two manners: having more than one tRNA (with a specific anti-codon) for a particular amino acid; and 'wobble' base-pairing, i.e. permitting non-standard base-pairing at the 3rd anti-codon position. The record is from RNAcentral. Lineage: Eukaryota; Viridiplantae; Chlorophyta; Trebouxiophyceae; Trebouxiales; Trebouxiaceae.
GCCCUUGUGGCGAAAUGGUAGACGCACUUGCUUAAGGAGCAAGCGCCUUAAGGCAUGUCAGUUCGAGUCUGACUAAGGGCA